ACGGGAGGCAGCAGUAGGGAAUAUUGCACAAUGGGGGGAACCCUGAUGCAGCAACGCCACGUGUGGGAAGACGCAUUUCGGUGUGUAAACCCCUGUCGUGAGGGAAUAAGGCUACUUUCCGGAGUAGUUGAAUGUACCUUGAAAGGAAGCACCGGCAAACUUCGUGCCAGCAGCCGCGGUAAUACGAGGGGUGCAAGCGUUGUUCGGAAUCACUGGGCGUAAAGGGAGCGUAGGCGGAGACGCAAGCAGUCUGUACAAUACCGGGGCCCAACCCCGGACCUGCAGACUGGACUGUGUCUCUUGGAUAGUUCAGGGGCAGGCGGAAUUCCUGGUGUAGCGGUGGAAUGCGUAGAGAUCAGGAAGAACACCGAUGGCGAAGGCAGCCUGCUGGGGACUCAUCGACGCUGAGGCUCGAAAGUGCGGGUAGCAAACAGGAUUAGAUACCCUGGUA
This 451-nucleotide ribosomal RNA is filed under the name uncultured Fibrobacter sp. RNAcentral describes it as "bacterial SSU rRNA". It matches the Rfam family "Bacterial small subunit ribosomal RNA", at positions 341 to 792 of the family's 1533-position model. Lineage: Bacteria; Pseudomonadati; Fibrobacterota; Fibrobacteria; Fibrobacterales; Fibrobacteraceae. The record is from RNAcentral.